UCAGGCCUAACACAUGCAAGUCGAACGGUAACAUUUCUAGCUUGCUAGAAGAUGACGAGUGGCGGACGGGUGAGUAAUGCUUGGGAACUUGCCUUUGCGAGGGGGAUAACAGUUGGAAACGACUGCUAAUACCGCAUAAUGUCUACGGACCAAACGGGGCUUCGGCUCCGGCGCAAAGAGAGGCCCAAGUGAGAUUAGCUAGUUGGUAAGGUAACGGCUUACCAAGGCGACGAUCUCUAGCUGUUCUGAGAGGAAGAUCAGCCACACUGGGACUGAGACACGGCCCAGACUCCUACGGGAGGCAGCAGUGGGGAAUAUUGCACAAUGGGGGAAACCCUGAUGCAGCCAUGCCGCGUGUGUGAAGAAGGCCUUCGGGUUGUAAAGCACUUUCAGUUGUGAGGAAAAGUUAGUAGUUAAUACCUGCUAGCCGUGACGUUAACAACAGAAGAAGCACCGGCUAACUCCGUGCCAGCAGCCGCGGUAAUACGGAGGGUGCGAGCGUUAAUCGGAAUUACUGGGCGUAAAGCGCACGCAGGCGGUUUGUUAAGCUAGAUGUGAAAGCCCCGGGCUCAACCUGGGAUGGUCAUUUAGAACUGGCAGACUAGAGUCUUGGAGAGGGGAGUGGAAUUCCAGGUGUAGCGGUGAAAUGCGUAAAUAUCUGGAGGAACAUCAGUGGCGAAGGCGACUCCCUGGCCAAAGU
This 700-nucleotide ribosomal RNA is filed under the name uncultured bacterium. RNAcentral describes it as "bacterial SSU rRNA". It matches the Rfam family "Bacterial small subunit ribosomal RNA", at positions 42 to 739 of the family's 1533-position model. The record is from RNAcentral.